GGGGCUGUAGCGCAGUUGGGAGCGCGUUUGACUGGCAGUCAAAAGGUCGAGGGUUCAACUCCCUCCAGCUCCACCA
This 76-nucleotide transfer RNA is filed under the name Candidatus Omnitrophota bacterium. Its description in RNAcentral is "Candidatus Omnitrophica bacterium tRNA-Ala". It matches the Rfam family "tRNA". Rfam says of the family: Transfer RNA (tRNA) molecules are approximately 80 nucleotides in length. The record is from RNAcentral. Lineage: Bacteria; Pseudomonadati; Candidatus Omnitrophota.